CUGCCUUGUGGUUUGGAAAGGGGUUAACACUUUCCCCUCCCAAACCUCAGCUCACCAGCACAUAUCCCUUGUGCUGCAAUUAUUGAAUGACACUUCACAACUUCAUCUCCUCUCCUGCUACAUCUGCUUGCUGCUCCCAUGUGCAACCUUGCUCACAUCCCAAACAUCUAAAUGCAUUGUUUCCUCUGUUUCUCCUGCCAGCAUGGAAAGGAGCCAUCCCUGAAGCAGGAUUGCCUUUGAGCUGGCAGCAGACGAGUGAUUGGCAUUGGGCAGUGCUGCUGAGACUCUGGCAGGCCGUUUAGCAGAGAACCUUGGCUAAUGAAUGUCAUCCACACCUAGCAGAUGUGCCACUGCCUGCCAUGCCAGAUUUUUGACAUAAUACAGGGCUGCUGGACACGACAGUGCUCGGGAAAAGCCAGGGAGGGACUUGUGCCUUCAACGUGGCGUUUGGUCCUUCUCGUGCUCUGCAAGAGAAACGAAACCUGCAGAAGGGAGGGAGGCACAGCCGCGUCUCCCGGCCCUCCACCCUGGUUUUAUCGAUACAGAUAUACAAGGCAAACCAAAGGUUUCGGCUGCUAUUCAGUGCCUCCUCAUUUGUCCCAGAGCCGUAACAGUGGUGCCCUUUCUCUUCUGGCUGCUUUUCCCUGCUUCUGGAGCAGCAGUUAUGGGAGAAGCAGAUGGCUACUGAUUGGGGACUGUCACUCGCUGCAGAGGCCAAGGCCUCCAGAGCCCCCGGGCAGCACCAGGAGGGGAGAGGCCAUCCCUGCAGGAGGAUUAUCCACCUGAGGGAACAUGCUGGGCACUCAGCUCCUGCCGUGCGUAACUCAGCGACCACCCAGGGUCCGGCGGGGAGCUGUGAGUGACAUCCUCACGGACCGACAGCAGAGAACUCCUGUGGCCACCAAAAAGACGUGCAGCCCACCACUCUGAGCUCAGGUGUCCUGAGGAGAUGGAGCCCAGCACUGCCCCACCCCAUGCCGGUCCCAGCAUGGGACGUGCUGGUGGCACACACAGGGACAGAAAGGCCCAAGGGUGUACAGGAGGCGGAGGCAGAUUUCAGUCCUGCAGGGAUUCCCCUUCUUCCAUUUCUCUCCCUUUUCUGUCCUUCGUAGCCAAUCAUGUCUUCUGUCAGGCUGUUAAAUGUUUGAAGGAAGGUGAAGCUAGGUGAAAGAUUUCCAGGUUUUAAACCUUGAUGCUGCUGUCAGGCCAAGAAAGGAGGAGAAGCAGAAAGCCUGAGAAAAAUAAUUCUGAAAUAGAAAGUCAGCAGUGAUAGAGGGCUAUGUAUGAACCGUUUAACCAGCCACCUGUAUUAUGUUUAGUGGUCUAGGGUUAUCGGUAAUAAAAAGAAUUCCUGUGACCCUUUGGUGAAUAUG
Molecule: long non-coding RNA, 1373 nt
Filed under: Zonotrichia albicollis (white-throated sparrow)
Lineage: Eukaryota; Metazoa; Chordata; Aves; Passeriformes; Passerellidae
Description: lncRNA (ENSZALG00000000874.1)
Source: RNAcentral